AGACUUUUGCACAAGAGAAAUCACUGGGUGUUCAUGCUGUAUGCAUGAGAUAUGCCUCCCUCCACCCUUGUAAGGACAUCAGCACAUUACCCUUCUGAUC
This is a non-coding RNA of Fukomys damarensis (Damara mole-rat), 100 nucleotides long. NCBI's taxonomy places the organism in Eukaryota, Metazoa, Chordata, Mammalia, Rodentia, Bathyergidae. The record is from Rfam.